This 301-nucleotide ribosomal RNA is filed under the name uncultured bacterium. RNAcentral's name for it is "partial 16S ribosomal RNA". It matches the Rfam family "Bacterial small subunit ribosomal RNA", at positions 509 to 807 of the family's 1533-position model. The record is from RNAcentral.
CAGUAGCCGCGGGAAUACAGAGGAUGCAAGCGUUAUCCGGAAUGAUUGGGCGUAAAGCGUCUGUAGGUGGCUUUUCAAGUCCGCCGUCAAAUCCCAGGGCUCAACCCUGGACAGGCGGUGGAAACUACCAAGAUGGAGUACGGUAGGGGCAGAGGGAAUUUCCGGUGGAGCGGUGAAAUGUGUUGAGAUCGGAAAGAACACCAACGGCGAAAGCACUCUGCUGGGCUGACACUGACACUGAGAGACGAAAGCUAGGGGAGCAAAUGGGAUUAGAUACCCCGGUAGUCCCUGUCUCUUAUAC